This is a long non-coding RNA of Cyanistes caeruleus (blue tit), 1859 nucleotides long. The record is from Ensembl. NCBI's taxonomy places the organism in Eukaryota, Metazoa, Chordata, Aves, Passeriformes, Paridae.
AAUUGAAAGGGGGGAAAAAGUCGGAAAAUGCCCCAAAAUAAUCCCAAAUCCUGAGUUUGGCACCUCCGGGAUUCCCCUGAAUCCCAACCCCAAAAAUUCCCCCUCCAAUCCCGGAAUGUCCAAACCCCGGAUCCCAAAUCUCAGCUCCAGCCCCCAAAUCCCAAAUCCCAAAUCCCCAGCCGGGAAUGGGAGACACCAAAACUGGGUCGGGAUUAUGGGAUGGGACCCCCGGCAUCCCAAAAAAUCCCUUUUCCCACUAAAAAAAAAAACCCAAAUGUCCCUUAAACCCCCCCGAAAUCGGCUCCAAACUCUGGGAUUGGGAUCUGUGGGAUUUGGGAUUUGUGGGAUUUGGGAUCUGGGAUUUGGGAUUUGUGGGAUUUGGGAUCUGUGGGAUUUGGGAUUUGUGGGAUUUGGAUUUCUGGGAUUUGGGAUCUGGGAUUUGGGAUCUGGGAUUUGGGAUUUGUGGGAUUUGGAUUUGUGGGAUUUGGGAUUUGUGGGAUUUGGAUCCUCCACCCCUCCAAAUUCCCGGCGAGGAUUCCCCGCUCUCUCCCAGCGCCCUUUUGGGGCGGAUUUGGGGUUUUUGGGGUCACGCCCCGGGCGCGGGGACCCCCGGGCGCCGCCGCAGCCGCGAUCCCCGGGAAUCCCGGGAUUUGUGGCCGCGAUUCCUCCCAGUCCCAAAAAAUCCCUUCCCGCGCGCGGAAUUCCCGCGGGUUUGGUUUUCCCGCCCGCCGGAGGGGGGAAAAAAAAUGGGAUUUUUGGGGGUGAAAAACGAGAGUUCCCAAAAAAAUGGGAUCCGUUCCCAUGGGAUCCAUUCCCGCGGGAUCCAUUCCCAUGGGAUCCAUUCCCUCCGGGAUCCAUUCCCAUGGGAUCCAUUCCCGCGGGAUCCGUUCCCAUGGGAUCCAUCCCCUCCGGGAUCCAUCCCCUCCGGGAUCCGUUCCCAUGGGAUCCAUUCCCUCCGGGAUCCAUUCCCCCGGGAUCCGUUCCCAUGGGAUCCAUCCCCUCCGGGAUCCGUUCCCAUGGGAUCCAUCCCCUCCGGGAUCCAUUCCCGCGCAUCCCGCCAGGGUCCGGCUGUUCCCGGGAUUUUUUUGCCGGGAAUUCCCUGGAUCCUCCCGCGCAUCCCUGCGGGUUUCGCCUUUUUUGGGAUUUGUUUUUCCCGGGAUUUUCCCGCUUUGGCGCCGAUUCCCGGCGCCGACUCCAGAGGGAGCCCGGACAAGGGGGGAUGGAAAAUCCUGGGAUUUUCCAGCCGGGAAAAACCUCGGGAAGGGAGCGGAGCUUCCCCGGCAGGGCCGGAUUUUCCUUCGUCCGCAUCCCAGAGAAUCCCGGAUUUCCCGGUAUCCAUAUCCCAGAUUUUCCCCCACCUCCAUCCCAGAGAAUCCCAGAUUUUCCUGUGUCCAUAUCCCAGAAAAUCCCAGAUUUUCCUGUAUCCGUAUCCCAGAUUUCCCCCCGCCUCCAUCCCAGAGAAUCCCAAAUUUCCCGGUAUCCGCAUCCCAGAGAAUCCCGGAUUUUCCCGUGUCCAUAUCCCAGAUUUUCCCGCACCUGCAUCCCAGAGAAUUCCAGGUUUUCCUUCAUCGGCAUCCCAGAACAUCCCAGAUUUCCCCACAUCCCAGAUUUCCCCACAUCCCAGAUUUUCCUUUAUCCGCAUCCCAGAUUUUCCCACAUCGGCAUCCCAGAGAAUUCCAGAUUUUCCUGUGUCCGCAUCCCAGAUUUCCCCCAUCCCAGGAAUUUCCCCCACAUCCCAGGAAUUUCCCCCAUCCCAGAUUUUCCCCCCCUCCAUCCCAAAUUUCCACACCCCAGGAAUUCUCCCCCAUCCCAGAUUUCCCCGUGUCCGUAUCCCAGAUUUCCCCCAUCCCAGAUUUUCC